This 372-nucleotide ribosomal RNA is filed under the name uncultured bacterium. Its description in RNAcentral is "bacterial SSU rRNA". It matches the Rfam family "Bacterial small subunit ribosomal RNA", at positions 524 to 898 of the family's 1533-position model. The record is from RNAcentral.
UACGGAGGAUGCAAGCGUUAUCCGGAUUCAUUGGGUUUAAAGGGUACGUAGGUGGCCUUGUAAGUCAGUGGUGAAAACCUGCCGCUUAACGGUAGGCGUGCCAUUGAUACUGUGGGGCUUGAGUACAGAUGAGGUAGGCGGAAUGUGUAGUGUAGCGGUGAAAUGCAUAGAUAUUACACAGAACUCCGAUUGCGAAGGCAGCUUACUAAACUGACACUGACGCUGAUGUACGAAAGCGUGGGUAGCGAACAGGAUUAGAUACCCUGGUAGUCCACGCCGUAAACGAUGCUCACUGGCUGUAUGCGAUACACUGUAUGCGGCCAAGCGAAAGCGCUAAGUGAGCCACCUGGGGAGUACGCCGGCAACGGUGAA